Molecule: ribosomal RNA, 468 nt
Filed under: uncultured bacterium
Lineage: Bacteria
Description: partial 16S ribosomal RNA
Rfam family: Bacterial small subunit ribosomal RNA
Source: RNAcentral
GACGAACGCUGGCGGCGUGCUUAACACAUGCAAGUCGAACGGAAAGGCCCUGCUUUUGUGGGGUGCUCGAGUGGCGAACGGGUGAGUAACACGUGAGUAACCUGCCCUUGACUUUGGGAUAACUUCAGGAAACUGGGGCUAAUACCGGAUAGGAUCUCCUGCUGCAUGGUGGGGGUUGGAAAGUUUCGGCGGUUGGGGAUGGACUCGCGGCUUAUCAGCUUGUUGGUGGGGUAGUGGCUUACCAAGGCUUUGACGGGUAGCCGGCCUGAGAGGGUGACCGGCCAAAUUGGGACUGAGAGACGGCACAGACUACUACGGGAGGCAGCAGUGGGGAAUAUUGCACAAUGGGCGGAAGCCUGAUGCAGCAACGCCGCGUGCGGGAUGACGGCCUUCGGGUUGUAAAAAGCUUUCGACUGUGACGAAGCGUGAGUGACGGUAAUGGGUAAAGAAGCACCGGCUAACUACGUG